UACGUAGGUGGCAAGCGUUGUCCGGAUUUACUGGGCGUAAAGAGCGCGCAGGCGGUCGUUCAAGUCGCGUGUGAAAGCCCCCGGCUCAACUGGGGAGGGUCACGCGAUACUGAUCGACUCGAAGGCAGGAGAGGGUAGUGGAAUUCCCGGUGUAGUGGUGAAAUGCGUAGAUAUCGGGAGGAACAUCAGUGGCGAAGGCGGCUGCCUGGCCCAAUACUGACACUCAGGUGCGACAGCGUGGGGAGCAAACAGG
This 253-nucleotide ribosomal RNA is filed under the name uncultured bacterium. RNAcentral's name for it is "partial 16S ribosomal RNA". It matches the Rfam family "Bacterial small subunit ribosomal RNA", at positions 524 to 776 of the family's 1533-position model. The record is from RNAcentral.